GCCAGCCACCGAGCAGCCUCUGUGCUCCCAUCUGAGAAACGGGCGCGGUACAGCGCCUGUGUGUCCCCAGUGAAGACUUCAUCACAUUGGGGGCUGGAACUGCCUAGUCAUGUGACCAUCUGUGAGCCCCCCCCCCCCCCCGAAAGGCUGGGACCUUCUGCCUUGGUCGCUGCUCUGUCCCCAGUGCCCAGCACACAGCCUGGCACACGGAGCUCAACCAAUCUUCUGGCCUGAAUAACUGCAUGAAUCAACAUACACUGGAUGAAUUAUUAUUAUAGAAAAGGUCCAGAGGGGGAGGAGGGGCUCCGGAGGCCACGUGGGACCGAGCCUUGGGACGAUGUUGCCGCGGUGGCUUUUGUUCUCCAUCUGGACGCCCUGACCGGCCUCUGCUCCGGGAGGAAGCGAUUAACGCAGACAAGGCCAAGAAAAGAGGAACAAAGGCGCCCGCAUUCGGGCCCGGGGCCGGAGCAGAAUGAGGGAUUUUCAGGCGAGGAUGUGGCAGCAGAAGUGGAACGUGGAAUCCUCGGACUGAAAGGAAGCCCGUUCGGGCGGAGGAUUCCACCAGCUUCGGGCACAAAGGCAGCGACGACCGGGGCCUCCUGGCAAAGCCGCGGGCACCUGCUCCCUUUUCAGAGGCCACAAUAAGGGCAGUUAAGCUUCCGCCCCCGGCCUCCUGGAACCCGGGGGCUCAGCUGUCCCGGGAGUUGCAGGGACACGAGGUGGGGGGGGGGGGCAGCAGGAGGGUCUCUCAGCUGAGAGGGAGGCUUUUGCAGUCAGAAGAACCCGGAUCCGACACCAAAGGAUCGCCUGGCUUGGGUUGGGAUCCCGGCUCUGCUCUCCCGAGGCGUUGCCAAAGCACCUGCUAUCGCACGGGCUCCUACGCUAGGCCCCGGGGACCCAGCAGCCAACAGGACACAGGCCACCUGCCUGGCCCUUGCAUGGCUGACCUUCUAACAGGGCGUGUGGCCUUCGUGACUGUGCGGCUCUGGGCCUUGGUUUUCCAUCUCUGGAAAAUGGGCUGCUGUUUGCGCCCACCGCCGGGGAGUUAAAACAGAAAAGCCCCCGGACAAGCCUGGUGCAGUCAGUGUCCCUAAAUAGUAGCUGGCGUCAGGGGCCCCCCACGCCACCUCAGCCCUGCUGACAUCGACCUGGGGCCAGGUCACUCUGUGUGUGUGUGGGGGGGGGAGGGGCGUCGUCCUGGGGGUGAUUGAGCAGCAUCCCUGGCCCCCCACCCACGUGAUGCUGGGAGCUCCCUCAACCCGGCUGUGACAGCGACAAAUGUCUCCAGAUAGGUCCUGCUGUCCCCUGGGGGCGAGGGGGUGGAGGACGGCUCCCACCCCAGCCUCCCCGCUGCGGUUUUACAUUGUUACUCUUUCUUAGUAAAGGCUCCUCGGGCCAAAGUGUGUGCUCCUGGCUUAGAUA
RNAcentral lists this long non-coding RNA (1422 nucleotides) under Felis catus (domestic cat). Its description in RNAcentral is "lncRNA (ENSFCAG00000050197.1)". Lineage: Eukaryota; Metazoa; Chordata; Mammalia; Carnivora; Felidae. The record is from RNAcentral.